GGAACAGGGCACGAUGUCUGCGCAGGACCAGCUGCCAGCUGCAGGACCGCCGUGCCAUGGUCUGGGGAUCCUAAACUUCCCGGGAGUAUUUUGGAUUGCCUCAAGCAAGCACCCAUGUGCAGUAGGAGCCAAUGGAGAGGUCGGGGAGCAAGAAUUCCUGUCCCCUCAAAGGUCCUUCCAGCAAGACUAAGAAUCAAAUCGACAUGAGGCAGAUCAACAGAUCAAAUCUAACAGCGUACGUAGGAAUCCACAGAGACACGGAAAUUCCAAAGAAGCGUCAGGAAAAUGAGGAAACGAGACCCGUGAGCAGGGAAGGCCAGUCUCGAGCCCAAGGGCCUCUCUCCCUCCAGACACCUGAUGGGAGCGGCACAGAGCAGGAGGGUCCAGAGCUGGGAUGAGAACUUCUGAAGAGCAAAGCAGGCUCUCCUCCGUCUUUUCGGGCUGACGACGGAGAUUAGCAUGGCUCUCAACGAAAAGGACAGAAUGGCCCUCCUGUGAAAGGGCAGCAAAGACAGACUACAACCCAGCCUCAACCUUCCUCUGCCUAGGAGAGGAGAAAGGGAGCCCUCUCUGGUGGAAGAUCACAUCACACGGAGGUUUCGCCUACCUUUUUUCCAUGUUUUCUGUAUACAA
Long non-coding RNA from Ailuropoda melanoleuca (giant panda), 633 nucleotides. RefSeq lists it as uncharacterized. The record is from RefSeq and is a predicted model, not a curated record. The transcript has 3 exons. Lineage: Eukaryota; Metazoa; Chordata; Mammalia; Carnivora; Ursidae.